Molecule: small RNA, 122 nt
Filed under: Salmonella enterica subsp. enterica serovar Infantis
Lineage: Bacteria; Pseudomonadati; Pseudomonadota; Gammaproteobacteria; Enterobacterales; Enterobacteriaceae
Also listed under: 3 other names
Description: partial RtT sRNA
Rfam family: RtT RNA
About the family: This family represents a bacterial cis-regulatory element known as RtT RNA. The exact function of RtT is unknown although it is thought that it may be involved in changing the cellular response in relation to amino acid starvation.
Source: RNAcentral
CUGACGAGGAUGAGAACCUCCGGGGGCAAGAGGUUCGACCCGAGCGAAGCGAGAGAACGUUGCGUCAGCAACGGCCCGCAGGGCGAGCCACGCAGUGGCGAGUCAUCCUCUAUCACCGACCA